UGACCUCAAAUCAGGUU
This 17-nucleotide ribosomal RNA is filed under the name Suillus asiaticus. RNAcentral describes it as "partial 28S ribosomal RNA". The record is from RNAcentral. Lineage: Eukaryota; Fungi; Basidiomycota; Agaricomycetes; Boletales; Suillaceae.